CCGGCCUAAGCUUUGUGAUGAGCAGCCUGACAAUUUGCAGUAUUAACGAUCUUUAUUUUGACCUCUCAGGAGACAGAAGAAGGACUGAGAAACGUUAUAAAUACUGGAAGCGAAUAUUCUAAAUCGGCUCUAAUCCUGUCGCUGAACUGAAAGCAACACUAACAGUAAACAUGAAAUGUGUGACUUCAUUGCACGAGAUAUACUACUUAACGUCAGGAUUUGCCGAGCACAUUCCGACUUCAUUUUGGAGUGACCAUUCCUAAAAGCAAAAAGACAGCAGUGACUCCGGAUCACUUUUUCUGCUGAGAUCAACUGCCUGCUACAAUGAUGGAUGUUUCUUUACUUUGGACGAAGCUGAAGUUCCUGGCUCCUUUCUUGUUUCUGAAGAGCAUGAAGUUUAUGAUCUGCAUGUUUCAGCUGAUUCUGGAGAAAGGAUUGCCAACACCUACAUUAUGUUUAGAGCUUGAGGAACUGGAUUUGUGCUCAUACCUAGUAUUUUCCUGCCUCGUCAUCUUCUGCUGGUUUCAACUGAAUGGAACUGUUGAGAACGGCUGUUGCUAGUGCCUAUUUACAUGCUGUUAAAAUUGAUGAAAACUUAGAGUGCUUGCAAGUACUUAAUGUGAGUGGUAUGCAAGGAACAGAUCACUCUGUUGCCAAGGAUUUUGGUGCUGAAUACUUCGACGCCCUUUCAUCUUCUAAUCCAUCAACAUCUGGAACUGUCGUAUUAGACUGCAUUCCUCUAGUCCUCUAAGUAUUUGUUUUUAGACUUGAUUGAAAUUACUACUUCUUUAUACAUGCUGAGUAUUUCUUCAACUGCAAGGAAAGGAAUGCGUGGGGGAAUUGAAAAUAGCCCUUGAAGGAUCUUUGUCCCGUAUCUUGC
This 880-nucleotide long non-coding RNA is filed under the name Chrysolophus pictus (golden pheasant). Its description in RNAcentral is "lncRNA (ENSCPIG00010012527.1)". Lineage: Eukaryota; Metazoa; Chordata; Aves; Galliformes; Phasianidae. The record is from RNAcentral.